GAUGAACGCUGGCGGCGUGCCUAAUACAUGCAAGUAGAACGCUGAAGGAGGAGCUUGCUUCUCUGGAUGAGUUGCGAACGGGUGAGUAACGCGUAGGUAACCUGCCUGGUAGCGGGGGAUAACUAUUGGAAACGAUAGCUAAUACCGCAUAAUAGCAGUUAUUGCAUGAUAACUGUUUGAAAGGUGCAAUUGCACCACUACCAGAUGGACCUGCGUUGUAUUAGCUAGUUGGUGGGGUAACGGCUCACCAAGGCGACGAUACAUAGCCGACCUGAGAGGGUGAUCGGCCACACUGGGACUGAGACACGGCCCAGACUCCUACGGGAGGCAGCAGUAGGGAAUCUUCGGCAAUGGACGGAAGUCUGACCGAGCAACGCCGCGUGAGUGAAGAAGGUUUUCGGAUCGUAAAGCUCUGUUGUAAGAGAAGAACGAGUGUGAGAGUGGAAAGUUCACACUGUGACGGUAUCUUACCAGAAAGGGACGGCUAACUACGUG
Molecule: ribosomal RNA, 495 nt
Filed under: uncultured bacterium
Lineage: Bacteria
Description: partial 16S ribosomal RNA
Rfam family: Bacterial small subunit ribosomal RNA
Source: RNAcentral